RNAcentral lists this ribosomal RNA (253 nucleotides) under uncultured bacterium. Its description in RNAcentral is "partial 16S ribosomal RNA". It matches the Rfam family "Bacterial small subunit ribosomal RNA", at positions 524 to 776 of the family's 1533-position model. The record is from RNAcentral.
UACGUAGGGUGCAGGCGUUAAUCGGAAUUCCUGGGCGUAAAGCGUGCGUAGGCGGUUUGUUAAGACAGGUGUGAAAUCCCCGGGCUUAACCUGGGAACUGCGCUUGUUACUGGCAGACUGGAGUGUGGCAGAGGGGGGUGGAAUUCCAGGUGUAGCAGUGAAAUGCGUAGAUAUCUGGAGGAACACCGAUGGCGAAGGCAGCCCCCUGGGCUAACACUGACGCUGAUGCACGAAAGCGUGGGGAGCAAACAGG